Molecule: ribosomal RNA, 253 nt
Filed under: uncultured bacterium
Lineage: Bacteria
Description: partial 16S ribosomal RNA
Rfam family: Bacterial small subunit ribosomal RNA
Source: RNAcentral
UACGGAGGGUGCAAGCGUUAAUCGGAAUUACUGGGCGUAAAGCGCGCGUAGGCGGUUUUUUAAGUCGGAUGUGAAAGCCCCGGGCUCAACCUGGGAACUGCAUCCGAUACUGGAAGACUAGAAUGCGGGAGAGGGAGGUGGAAUUCCAUGUGUAGCAGUGAAAUGCGUAGAUAUAUGGAGGAAUACCAGUGGCGAAGGCGGCCUCCUGGCUCGACAUUGACGCUGAGGUGCGAAAGCGUGGGGAGCAAACGGG